RNAcentral lists this ribosomal RNA (274 nucleotides) under uncultured bacterium. RNAcentral's name for it is "partial 16S ribosomal RNA". It matches the Rfam family "Archaeal small subunit ribosomal RNA", at positions 473 to 747 of the family's 1478-position model. The record is from RNAcentral.
AAACCAGCACCUCAAGUGGUCAGGAUGAUUAUUGGGCCUAAAGCAUCCGUAGCCGGCUCUGUAAGUUUUCGGUUAAAUCUGUACGCUCAACGUACAGGCUGUCGGGAAUACUGCAGAGCUAGGGAGAGGGAGAGGUAGACGGUACUCGGGAGGAAGUGGUAAAAUGCUUUGAUCUCUCGAUGACCACCUGUGGCGAAGGCGGUCUACCAGAACACGUCCGACGGUGAGGGAUGAAAGCUGGGGGAGCAAACCGGAUUAGAAACCCCAGUAGUCC